This 650-nucleotide ribosomal RNA is filed under the name uncultured bacterium. RNAcentral's name for it is "bacterial SSU rRNA". It matches the Rfam family "Bacterial small subunit ribosomal RNA", at positions 33 to 729 of the family's 1533-position model. The record is from RNAcentral.
GCGGUUGGCGGCAUGCUAACCAUGCAGUCGAACGGAAUCUUCGGAUUUAGUGGCGGACGGGUGAGUAACGCGUGAGAAUCUGCCUUCAGGAUGGGGACAACAGUUGGAAACGACUGCUAAUACCCGAUAUGCAGCGAUGUGAAAGAUUUAUCGCCUGGAGAUGAGCUCGCGUCAGAUUAGCUAGUUGGUGUGGUAAAGGCGCACCAAGGCGACGAUCUGUAGCUGGUCUGAGAGGAUGAGCAGCCACACUGGGACUGAGACACGGCCCAGACUCCUACGGGAGGCAGCAGUGGGGAAUUUUCCGCAAUGGGCGCAAGCCUGACGGAGCAAUACCGCGUGAGGGAGGAAGGCUCUUGGGUCGUAAACCUCUUUUCUCAGGGAAGAACACAAUGACGGUACCUGAGGAAUAAGCAUCGGCUAACUCCGUGCCAGCAGCCGCGGUAAUACGGAGGAUGCAAGCGUUAUCCGGAAUGAUUGGGCGUAAAGCGUCCGUAGGUGGUUUUGUAAGUCUGUGGUUAAAGCGUGUAGCUCAACUACAUAACGGCCAUGGAAACUACAUAACUUGAGUGAAGUAGGGGUAGAGGGAAUUCCCAGUGUAGCGGUGAAAUGCGUAGAGAUUGGGAAGAACACCGGUGGCGAAAGCGCUCUAC